This is a transfer RNA of Trametes pubescens, 96 nucleotides long. It matches the Rfam family "tRNA". Rfam says of the family: Transfer RNA (tRNA) molecules are approximately 80 nucleotides in length. Their secondary structure includes four short double-helical elements and three loops (D, anti-codon, and T loops). Lineage: Eukaryota; Fungi; Basidiomycota; Agaricomycetes; Polyporales; Polyporaceae. The record is from Rfam.
GACACUAUGGCCGAGUGGUUAAGGCGACAGAUUCGAAUCACAUGUUCGAUCAUCUGUUUCGGUUUCCGAGCGCAGGUUCAAAUCCUGCUGGUGUCG